This is a non-coding RNA of Paralichthys olivaceus (Japanese flounder), 413 nucleotides long. Lineage: Eukaryota; Metazoa; Chordata; Actinopteri; Pleuronectiformes; Paralichthyidae. The record is from RefSeq and is a predicted model, not a curated record.
CUCAGUGGGUUUCCAGAGACAGUUCCCGUCUACACUGUUAACAGACAGUGCUCCUCUGGACUUCAGGCUCUUUUUAAUGUAGCAGGAGCCAUCAGAAGUGGAUCCAUUGACCUGGGCCUCGCCUGCGGUGUGGAGAGCAUGUCUCUGCGUACGAUGGGGAACCCUGGAGAUCUGAGCUCCAGGCUGAUGGACAACGACAAGGCCAGAGACUGCAUCAUGCCGAUGGGCAUCACGUCAGAGAACGUUGCGGAGAGAUUUGGAAUCUCCCGAGAAAAACAGGACGCCUUCGCUCUGAACUCUCAACAAAAGUAAACGAGUCAUUUAUUCAAUUUUUAUCUGUUGAACAGCAGCUGCUUGGAUCUGUGCAGGAGCAGGUGUGGGGCAGGAGCAGGUGUGGGGCAGGAGCAGGUGUG